Molecule: long non-coding RNA, 430 nt
Filed under: Mytilus galloprovincialis (Mediterranean mussel)
Lineage: Eukaryota; Metazoa; Mollusca; Bivalvia; Mytilida; Mytilidae
Source: RNAcentral
AGUUCAGAAGAUGAAAGGCUUGCUGAGGCUGCAGUUUCUCAUGAUUUUAUAAUAAAACAAAGUCAUUCAACAGACAGUAACCGGAAUUGUGAACAAAAUCUGAUAGCAACUAUCUCAUCUGAAAAAGACAUCAAAGAAAUAAACAAAUUAAAUGAAAAUAGUCAAAACAAUACUGUGAAAAAGAAGAAGAAGAAGAAAAAGACAAAACAAAAGGAAGAAAUAAAAGUUUCAUAGAAUUAUAAAUACUUUUUAUGUCCUGUAUUGUUGCCUGUAAUCUCAGUAGCUUGUUGUGUGUUUGGUGGUAUAAAAGUGAGAAUGGAAAUGGGGAAUGUGUCAAAGAGACAACAACCUUACCAAAUGGCAGAAAAACACAGGGAGAAAAUCCAGCACCCAACUGGCCCCUAAACAAAACGUGUACUAGUUCAAAAUA